GACGAACGCUGGCGGCGUGCCUAAUACAUGCAAGUAGAACGCUGAAGGAGGAGCUUGCUCUUCUGGAUGAGUUGCGAACGGGUGAGUAACGCGUAGGUAACCUGCCUGGUAGCGGGGGAUAACUAUUGGAAACGAUAGCUAAUACCGCAUAAGAGUAGAUGUUGCAUGACAUUUGCUUAAAAGGUGCAAUUGCAUCACUACCAGAUGGACCUGCGUUGUAUUAGCUAGUUGGUGAGGUAACGGCUCACCAAGGCAACGAUACAUAGCCGACCUGAGAGGGUGAUCGGCCACACUGGGACUGAGACACGGCCCCAGACUCCUACGGGAGGCAGCAGUAGGGAAUCUUUCGGCA
Molecule: ribosomal RNA, 352 nt
Filed under: Streptococcus sp. oral taxon 064
Lineage: Bacteria; Bacillati; Bacillota; Bacilli; Lactobacillales; Streptococcaceae
Description: bacterial SSU rRNA
Rfam family: Bacterial small subunit ribosomal RNA
Source: RNAcentral